This 63-nucleotide ribosomal RNA is filed under the name Lecanora cenisia. RNAcentral's name for it is "5.8S ribosomal RNA". It matches the Rfam family "5.8S ribosomal RNA", at positions 3 to 65 of the family's 154-position model. Rfam says of the family: 5.8S ribosomal RNA (5.8S rRNA) is a component of the large subunit of the eukaryotic ribosome. It is transcribed by RNA polymerase I as part of the 45S precursor that also contains 18S and 28S rRNA. Lineage: Eukaryota; Fungi; Ascomycota; Lecanoromycetes; Lecanorales; Lecanoraceae. The record is from RNAcentral.
CUUUCAACAACGGAUCUCUUGGUUCUGGCAUCGAUGAAGAACGCAGCGAAAUGCGAUAAGUAA